Molecule: non-coding RNA, 480 nt
Filed under: Pan troglodytes (chimpanzee)
Lineage: Eukaryota; Metazoa; Chordata; Mammalia; Primates; Hominidae
Source: RNAcentral
GACACAGCCAACACAGAAAGAAAGGGAAAAGAUUCCAGAGACGUUCCAGCAUAAGGCCAUGCAGGGCUGGCUGGAGCUCGUGGGCAGGGGCUGCCGACCUCUGAGCUGGGUGUGCUGGGAGCCAGGGAUCACUGGGUGCCGGCCACAGAGGAGGGUCCCUGAGGACACAGUACCGAAGUCUGAUCCCAGAGGAGGAAGGAAGGUGGGCCGGGGAGAAGGUCUGAGUGCAGGGAUGGUCCAAGAGGAGGACUGGAAGCUGCAGGGGGCCGUGGACCCUCCUGGCCUGAAGCUCACUCCUUCCCCGCCUCCUACAGGGGCAGGGGAGCCAGGGCUGCGAGUUCUGUCUGUGGACUCUCAAUGGCUUUCACUCCUUCCCUAGGUAACUAUGGCUAAGAGACAGAAUAAUUUGAAAAUACGUUCUUUUUCCUCUUUAGCUGGAUGUCCCACAGAGAAAAUGGAAUAAAUGUCAUUUGGACUGAG